This 247-nucleotide ribosomal RNA is filed under the name uncultured bacterium. Its description in RNAcentral is "partial small subunit ribosomal RNA". It matches the Rfam family "Bacterial small subunit ribosomal RNA", at positions 26 to 288 of the family's 1533-position model. The record is from RNAcentral.
AGGACGAACGCUGGCGGCGUGCUUAACACAUGCAAGUCGAACGAACCUUCGGGUUAGUGGCGGACGGGUGAGUAACACGUGGGCAACCUGCCUCGAGCUCUGGGAUAACACCGGGAAACCGGUGCUAAUACCGGAUAUGAACAGAGAAGGCAUCUUCUCUGUUGGAAAGUUUUUCGGCUCGAGAUGGGCCCGCGGCCUAUCAGCUUGUUGGUGGGGUAACGGCCUACCAAGGCGACGACGGGUAACC